GCACCCGUAGCUCAGCUGGAUAGAGAGCUGCCCUCCGAAGGCAGAGGUCAGAGGUUCGAAUCCUCUCGUGUGCGCCA
Molecule: transfer RNA, 77 nt
Filed under: Gammaproteobacteria bacterium
Lineage: Bacteria; Pseudomonadati; Pseudomonadota; Gammaproteobacteria
Description: tRNA-Arg
Rfam family: tRNA
About the family: Transfer RNA (tRNA) molecules are approximately 80 nucleotides in length. Their secondary structure includes four short double-helical elements and three loops (D, anti-codon, and T loops).
Source: RNAcentral